UUUGUAGUCCUGGGGUGCUGUUAUAUAACCAGGUUGUAACGGCUGAGAUUAAACCCGAAUACCUGAUCUGGGUAAUGCCAGCGUAGGAAUCAAAACUAUGUAUAAGUUA
This 109-nucleotide non-coding RNA is filed under the name bacterium TMED250. RNAcentral's name for it is "Bacterium TMED250 TPP sequence". It matches the Rfam family "TPP riboswitch aptamer (THI element)". Rfam says of the family: Vitamin B(1) in its active form thiamin pyrophosphate (TPP) is an essential coenzyme that is synthesised by coupling of pyrimidine and thiazole moieties in bacteria. The previously detected thiamin-regulatory element, thi box was extended, resulting in a new, highly conserved RNA secondary structure, the THI element, which is widely distributed in eubacteria and also occurs in some archaea. The record is from RNAcentral.